Molecule: non-coding RNA, 281 nt
Organism: Nerophis lumbriciformis (worm pipefish)
Lineage: Eukaryota; Metazoa; Chordata; Actinopteri; Syngnathiformes; Syngnathidae
Source: RefSeq, a predicted model, not a curated record
UUUUUUUAGAUCAUUUAACAGUUACUCACCUCAGGGUAAUAUAUUUUGGUACUUAGUUAGAAUGUUAGCAUGCUAAAAUUAGCAUGCUAGCUUUUUUAGAUCAUUUAACAGGUACUCACCACAGAGUAAUAUAUUUUUGGUACUUACAGUUAGAAUUUUAGCAUGUUAACAUUAGCAUACUAGCUUUGUAGAUCAUUUAAGAGGUACUCACCACAGAGUAAUAUAUUUUGGUACUUACAGUUAGAAUUUUAGCAUGCUAACAUUAGCAUGAUAGCUUUUUU